RNAcentral lists this unclassified non-coding RNA (434 nucleotides) under Hevea brasiliensis (rubber tree). The record is from RNAcentral. Lineage: Eukaryota; Viridiplantae; Streptophyta; Magnoliopsida; Malpighiales; Euphorbiaceae.
CUCUACAACCCCAGUGCCCAUGCAAGCUAGCUUUGCGCUAGCUUAAUUUAGCUCUGGGGGAACAACGUAAUUCCAACGUCACCACCUAUGCCACACGAUUGCAAUUUGGAGGCAUAGUGGACGGUUUUGUUACCAUUUUGUUAAGUUCACGGGAUAAGGAUCACACCACGUGAUAAGGAGGGAAAUCUUCCUCCACUGCCAAAGUCUUUCCCUUACCGCGGUUUCACACCUUAACUCUCAUAGACAUCACACCUAAGACUAAGGUUCCCUUUAGCAUCACAACUAGAGUUACAACUGUCAGACAUCGCAUAGAAGCAUAGUUGUUGAAAUUUUUAUUGAAUAAAAACUAAAUAAUAUGCAUUGCAGGAAUUCAUUUUCAUAGGUUGAACUUUAUAAUCCUCCAAGGAUCUGAAUAUCUCGAAGAAAACUAAAAG